UACAGAGAGUGCUAGCGUUGUUCGGAAUUACUGGGCGUAAAGGGCGUGUAGGCGGUUGCGUAAGUCGGAUGUGAAAGCCCUCGGCCCAACCGGGGAAGUGCAUCCGAAACUGCGCGGCUUGAGUGCGGGAUGGGGGAGCGGAACUCCCAGUGUAGAGGUGAAAUUCGUAGAGAUUGGGAGGAACACCAGUGGCGAAGGCGGCUCCCUGGACCGCAACUGACGCUGAUACGCGAAAGCGUGGGUAGCAAACAGG
Molecule: ribosomal RNA, 253 nt
Filed under: uncultured Pseudomonadota bacterium
Lineage: Bacteria; Pseudomonadati; Pseudomonadota
Description: uncultured proteobacterium partial 16S ribosomal RNA
Rfam family: Bacterial small subunit ribosomal RNA
Source: RNAcentral